Molecule: long non-coding RNA, 515 nt
Filed under: Helianthus annuus (common sunflower)
Lineage: Eukaryota; Viridiplantae; Streptophyta; Magnoliopsida; Asterales; Asteraceae
Source: RNAcentral
UGUGUUUACAACCCGAUCCUUUUGUGAGGAUGCAUGAGGAGUUUGAGGCAAGGGUGGAGAUCUUUCUUCCAUCUGCUGUGAGGAAGUAGCAGCAGUGGUUAUUGGUGACAUUUGUGUUGUCACCGGCAGUGGCCCUGGGAUCUCAUCUUCCAGAGGUGCCUUUGUUUUGGGUUUGGGGGGCUUUCUGGAUGUUUUCUUUUUGGUCUUUUUGUGGUGGCAGGUGUGGGUUUCAAAACAGUGGGUGUGCUGCUUUGAUCACCUGGAGCAGUGGGCUCAGCAGUAGAUACCUGAGGAGCAGUUUCAUCUGCUAAAUUCUGCUCAGGUACCUCUGCUUUUGUUUUUAUUGGUGCCAACAUUCUAGAGAAUGUUUCAGGUGUUAAACAGUUUAUUUUAAAAGAAGCACCUUGUUUGGGCAAUUCUGCAUCUUCCUUUACAAAUUUUUGUUCAAAAUAGUAGCUUAAAAAUCUUGGAAAGAGCAGAAAUGCCUUAUUAUCAACGUUUUUUACCAAAUCAUC